Molecule: ribosomal RNA, 253 nt
Filed under: uncultured bacterium
Lineage: Bacteria
Description: partial 16S ribosomal RNA
Rfam family: Bacterial small subunit ribosomal RNA
Source: RNAcentral
UACGAAGGGAGCGAGCGUUGUUCGGAAUCACUGGGCUUAAAGCGUGCGUAGGCGGAUUGGUAAGUAAGAAGUGAAAUCCCAGGGCUUAACCCUGGAACUGCUUUUUAGACUGCCUGUCUGGAAUUCGGUAGAGGUUGGUGGAACUCCUAGUGUAGAGGUGAAAUUCGCAGAUAUUAGGAAGAACACCGGUGGCGAAGGCGACCAACUGGACCGAUAUUGACGCUGAGGCACGAAAGCGUGGGGAGCGAACAGG